This 1100-nucleotide ribosomal RNA is filed under the name Neomassarina pandanicola. RNAcentral describes it as "bacterial SSU rRNA". It matches the Rfam family "Eukaryotic small subunit ribosomal RNA", at positions 1 to 1128 of the family's 1831-position model. Lineage: Eukaryota; Fungi; Ascomycota; Dothideomycetes; Pleosporales. The record is from RNAcentral.
CCAUGAGUGUGUCUAUAUAUGGUGUCUCCAAAGAAUAGCAUGCAGUCUGAGGUAUAGCACUAUACGGGAAACUGCGAUGGCUCAUAAAUUCAGUAUCGUUUAUUUGAUAGUACUACUACAUGGAUACCUGUGGUAAUCUAGAGCUAAUACAUGCUAAAAACCCCGACUUCGGGAGGGGGUGUGUUUAUUAGAUAAAAAACCAAUGGCCUUCGGGGCUACUUGGUGAUUCAUAAUAACCUAACAGAUCGCAUGGCCUUGUGCCGGCGACGGUUCAUUCAAAUUUCUGCCCUAUCAACUUUCGAUGGUAAGGUAUUGGCUUACCAUGGUUUCAACGGGUAACGGGGAAUUAGGGUUCGAUUCCGGAGAGGGAGCCUGAGAAACGGCUACCACAUCCAAGGAAGGCAGCAGGCGCGCAAAUUACCCAAUCCCGACACGGGGAGGUAGUGACAAUAAAUACUGAUACAGGGCUCUUUUGGGUCUUGUAAUCGGAAUGAGUACAAUUUAAAUUCCUUAACGAGGAACAAUUGGAGGGCAAGUCUGGUGCCAGCAGCCGCGGUAAUUCCAGCUCCAAUAGCGUAUAUUAAAGUUGUUGCAGUUAAAAAGCUCGUAGUUGAACCUUGGGCCUGGCUGGCCGGUCCGCCUCACCGCGUGUACUGGUCCGGCCGGGCCUUUUCUUCUGGAGAACCCCAUGCCCUUCACUGGGCGUGCGGGGGUGCCAGGACUUUUACUUUGAAAAAAUUAGAGUGUUCAAAGCAGGCCUUUGCUCGAAUACGUUAGCAUGGAAUAAUGGAAUAGGACGUGCGGUCCUAUUUUGUUGGUUUCUAGGACCGCCGUAAUGAUUAAUAGGGACAGUCGGGGGCAUCAGUAUUCAAUUGUCAGAGGUGAAAUUCUUGGAUUUAUUGAAGACUAACUACUGCGAAAGCAUUUGCCAAGGAUGUUUUCAUUAAUCAGUGAACGAAAGUUAGGGGAUCGAAGACGAUCAGAUACCGUCGUAGUCUUAACCGUAAACUAUGCCGACUAGGAAUCGGGCGGUGUUUCUAUUUUGACCCGCUCGGCGCCUUACGAGAAAUCAAAGUUUUUGGGUCUGGGGGAGAGCUCCU